GAUGAACGCUAGCUAUAGGCUUAACACAUGCAAGUCGAGGGGAAACGGCAUUAUGUGCUUGCACAUUUUGGACGUCGACCGGCGCACGGGUGAGUAUCGCGUAUCCAACCUGCCCUUUACUUGGGGAUACCCCGUUGAAAGACGGCCUAAUACCCGAUGUAAUUUAUUGAUGGCAUCAGAUAUGAAUAAAAGAUUUAUCGGUAAAGGAUGGGGAUGCGUCUGAUUAGCUUGUUGGUGAGGUAAAGGCUCACCAAGGCAACGAUCAGUAGGGGUUCUGAGAGGAAGGUCCCCCACAUUGGAACUGAGACACGGUCCAAACUCCUACGGGAGGCAGCAGUGAGGAAUAUUGGUCAAUGGGCGCAAGCCUGAACCAGCCAAGUAGCGUGCAGGAAGACGGCCCUAUGGGUUGUAAACUGCUUUUAUACGAGAAUAAUUUGAUGCACGUGUGCGUUAUUGCAUGUAUCGUAUGAAUAAGGACCGGCUAAUUCCGUGCCAGCAGCCGCGGUAAUACGGAAGGUCCAGGCGUUAUCCGGAUUUAUUGGGUUUAAAGGGAGUGUAGGCGGUUUGUUAAGCGUGUUGUGAAAUUUAGAUGCUCAACAUUUAACUUGCAGCGCGAACUGUCAGACUUGAGUACACGCAACGUAUGCGGAAUUCAUGGUGUAGCGGUGAAAUGCUUAGAUAUCAUGAAGAACUCCGAUUGCGAAGGCAGCAUACGGGAGUGUAACUGACGCUUAAGCUCGAAGGUGCGGGUAUCGAACAGG
RNAcentral lists this ribosomal RNA (761 nucleotides) under uncultured Prevotella sp. RNAcentral describes it as "bacterial SSU rRNA". It matches the Rfam family "Bacterial small subunit ribosomal RNA", at positions 28 to 776 of the family's 1533-position model. The record is from RNAcentral. Lineage: Bacteria; Pseudomonadati; Bacteroidota; Bacteroidia; Bacteroidales; Prevotellaceae.